This 245-nucleotide ribosomal RNA is filed under the name uncultured bacterium. RNAcentral describes it as "partial 16S ribosomal RNA". It matches the Rfam family "Bacterial small subunit ribosomal RNA", at positions 524 to 768 of the family's 1533-position model. The record is from RNAcentral.
UACGUAGGGUGCAAGCGUUGUUCGGAAUCACUGGGCGUAAAGGGAGCGUAGGCGGAACCGUAAGUUGGAAGUUUAAUAUCCAGGCUUAACCUGGAGCUUGCUUCCAAUACUGCGGUACUUGAGUAUGGAAGAGGGAGAUGGAAUUCCAGGUGUAGCGGUGGAAUGCGUAGAUAUCUGGAAGAACACCAGUAGCGAAGGCGAUCUCCUGGUCCUUUACUGACGCUGAGGCUCGAAAGCUAGGGGAG